UACGUAGGGUGCAAGCGUUAAUCGGAAUUACUGGGCGUAAAGUGUGCGCAGGCGGCAGAGCAAGUCGAGUGUGAAAGCCCCGAGCUUAACUUGGGAAUUGCGCUCGAAACUACUUUGCUGGAGUGUGGCAGAGGAAGGUGGAAUUCCAGGUGUAGCGGUGAAAUGCGUAGAGAUCUGGAGGAACACCGAUGGCGAAGGCAGCCUUCUGGGCCAACACUGACGCUCAUGCACGAAAGCGUGGGGAGCGAACCGG
This 253-nucleotide ribosomal RNA is filed under the name uncultured bacterium. Its description in RNAcentral is "partial 16S ribosomal RNA". It matches the Rfam family "Bacterial small subunit ribosomal RNA", at positions 524 to 776 of the family's 1533-position model. The record is from RNAcentral.